This 118-nucleotide Y RNA is filed under the name Microcebus murinus (gray mouse lemur). RNAcentral describes it as "Y RNA (ENSMICG00000020747.3)". It matches the Rfam family "Y RNA". Rfam says of the family: Y RNAs are components of the Ro ribonucleoprotein particle (Ro RNP), in association with Ro60 and La proteins. The Y RNAs and Ro60 and La proteins are well conserved, but the function of the Ro RNP is not known. The record is from Rfam by way of RNAcentral. Lineage: Eukaryota; Metazoa; Chordata; Mammalia; Primates; Cheirogaleidae.
GGCUGGUCUGAAGGUAGUGAGUGAGUUACCUCACUUGAUUGUUCACAGUCAGUUACAGAUUGAAUUCCUUGUUCUACUACUUUCCCCUCUUCUCACUACUGUACCUGACUACUCAAAA